This 258-nucleotide ribosomal RNA is filed under the name Triticum aestivum (bread wheat). RNAcentral describes it as "partial small subunit ribosomal RNA". Lineage: Eukaryota; Viridiplantae; Streptophyta; Magnoliopsida; Poales; Poaceae. The record is from RNAcentral.
AUGCUGCUGCUGCACGGGCUGACGGGGAAGAACAAGCAGGCGUGGAAGGAGGGCAAGAUCCGCGGCACGGCGGUGCUGGUCAAGAGCGGCGUGCUCGACCUCGGCGACUUCAACUCAUCCGUCCUCGACGACGUCCACAAGAUCCUCGACGGCCAAGGACGAUGGCGUCUCCUUCCAUCUCGUCAGCGCCACCGCACCCAACCCCCGGAGAUACAAUCAACGAUGGCAGGGGAGUCGGUUUUUCCGGGUCACGUUUGA